UACGUAGGUGGCAAGCGUUGUCCGGAAUUAUUGGGCGUAAAGCGCGCGUAGGCGGUUCUUUAAGUCUGAUGUGAAAGCCCACGGCUCAACCGUGGAGGGUCAUUGGAAACUGGGGAACUUGAGUGCAGAAGAGGAAAGUGGAAUUCCAAGUGUAGCGGUGAAAUGCGUAGAGAUUUGGAGGAACACCAGUGGCGAAGGCGACUUUCUGGUCUGUAACUGACACUGAGGCGCGAAAGCGUGGGGAGCAAACAGG
This 253-nucleotide ribosomal RNA is filed under the name uncultured bacterium. Its description in RNAcentral is "partial 16S ribosomal RNA". It matches the Rfam family "Bacterial small subunit ribosomal RNA", at positions 524 to 776 of the family's 1533-position model. The record is from RNAcentral.